This 492-nucleotide ribosomal RNA is filed under the name uncultured bacterium. Its description in RNAcentral is "partial 16S ribosomal RNA". It matches the Rfam family "Bacterial small subunit ribosomal RNA", at positions 29 to 507 of the family's 1533-position model. The record is from RNAcentral.
AGUGAACGCUGGCGGUAGGCCUAACACAUGCAAGUCGAACGGCAGCACAGUAAGAGCUUGCUCUUACGGGUGGCGAGUGGCGGACGGGUGAGGAAUACAUCGGAAUCUACUUUUUCGUGGGGGAUAACGUAGGGAAACUUACGCUAAUACCGCAUACGACCUACGGGUGAAAGCAGGGGAUCUUCGGACCUUGCGCGAUUGAAUGAGCCGAUGUCGGAUUAGCUAGUUGGCGGGGUAAAGGCCCACCAAGGCGACGAUCCGUAGCUGGUCUGAGAGGAUGAUCAGCCACACUGGAACUGAGACCCGGUCCAGACUCCUACGGGAGGCAGCAGUGGGGAAUAUUGGACAAUGGGCGCAAGCCUGAUCCAGCCAUACCGCGUGGGUGAAGAAGGCCUUCGGGUUGUAAAGCCCUUUUGUUGGGAAAGAAAUCCAGCCGGCUAAUACCUGGUUGGGAUGACGGUACCCAAAGAAUAAGCACCGGCUAACUUCGUG